This is a non-coding RNA of Galeopterus variegatus (Sunda flying lemur), 417 nucleotides long. The record is from the annotation of a RefSeq genome assembly. NCBI's taxonomy places the organism in Eukaryota, Metazoa, Chordata, Mammalia, Dermoptera, Cynocephalidae.
GAGCACAGUGUUCUGAGUAAGGAGAUGCCUGGUUCUGUCCUGCCUGAUGCUGCCUGGGGCACCAGGCUUCUCUGCUGUGUGACCCUUUGUCUCCUGGGGAUAGGUUCAGUGCAUGCUGGAGUCAUCCAGUCCCCAAGACACCUAAUCAAAAGAGAGGGGGGACAGGCCAUUCUGAAAUGCCAUCCUGUCUCUGGCCAUGACACUGUGUACUGGUACCAGCAGGCUCUGGGUCAGGGCCUCCAGUUCCUCAUUUCGUAUUAUGAAAAGAAGCAGAAUGAAAAAGGAAACUUCCCUAGUCGAUUCUCAGCUCAGCAGUUCAGUGACUACCACUCUGAGCUCAACAUGAGCUCCUUGGAGCUGAAGGACUCAGCCUCGUAUCUCUGUGCCAGCAUCUCGGGCACAGCCCUGCAGACUUAG